Molecule: transfer RNA, 83 nt
Filed under: Apaloderma vittatum (bar-tailed trogon)
Lineage: Eukaryota; Metazoa; Chordata; Aves; Trogoniformes; Trogonidae
Rfam family: tRNA
About the family: Transfer RNA (tRNA) molecules are approximately 80 nucleotides in length. Their secondary structure includes four short double-helical elements and three loops (D, anti-codon, and T loops). Further hydrogen bonds mediate the characteristic L-shaped molecular structure. tRNAs have two regions of fundamental functional importance: the anti-codon, which is responsible for specific mRNA codon recognition, and the 3' end, to which the tRNAs corresponding amino acid is attached (by aminoacyl-tRNA synthetases). tRNAs cope with the degeneracy of the genetic code in two manners: having more than one tRNA (with a specific anti-codon) for a particular amino acid; and 'wobble' base-pairing, i.e. permitting non-standard base-pairing at the 3rd anti-codon position.
Source: Rfam by way of RNAcentral
AGACCGGUCAGCUCAGUGGUUUGAGUGCGGUGUUGUCAACAAUGACAACACCGAGGUCGCGGGUUCGAUUCCCGCUCGGUCCC